RNAcentral lists this ribosomal RNA (301 nucleotides) under uncultured bacterium. RNAcentral's name for it is "partial 16S ribosomal RNA". It matches the Rfam family "Bacterial small subunit ribosomal RNA", at positions 509 to 807 of the family's 1533-position model. The record is from RNAcentral.
CAGCAGCCGCGGGAAUACGUAGGGUGCAAGCGUUAAUCGGAAUUACUGGGCGUAAAGGGCGCGUAGGCGGGUGUUUAAGUCAGAGGUUAAAUCCCAGGGCUCAACCCUGGAACUGCCUUUGAUACUGGGCACCUAGAGUUCGGGAGAGGUGUGUGGAACUCCGAGUGUAGAGGUGAAAUUCGUAGAUAUUCGGAAGAACACCAGUGGCGAAGGCGACACACUGGCCAAAUACUGACGCUGAGGCGCGAAAGCGUGGGGAGCAAACAGGAUUAGAUACCCCGGUAGUCCCUGUCUCUUAUAC